GGAGGAGGAAGCCCCGGCUAACUACGUGCCAGCAGCCGCGGUAAUACGUAGGGGGCAAGCGUUGUCNGGAUUCACUGGGCGUAAAGCGCGCGCAGGCGGUGAUGUAAGUCUGAGGUGAAAACCCGAAGCUCAACUUCGGGACUGCCUUGGAUACUGCGUCACUUGAGGAUAGGAGAGGCAAGGGGAAUUCCACGUGUAGCGGUGAAAUGCGUAGAGAUGUGGAGGAACACCUGUGGCGAAGGCGCCUUGCUGGCCUAUUUCUGACGCUGAGGCGCGAAAGCGUGGGGAGCAAACAGGAUUAGAUACCCUGGUAGUCCACGCUGUAAACGAUGAGUGCUAGGUGUAGGUGGGCUCAUACCCAUCUGUGCCGAAGCUAACGCAUUAAGCACUCCGCCUGGGGAGUACGGUCGCAAGACUGAAACUCAAAGGAAUUGACGGGGGCCCGCACAAGCAGUGGAGCAUGUGGUUUAAUUCGAAGCAACGCGAAGAACCUUACCAGGACUUGACAUCCCAUAGACCAGUCUAGAGAUAGACUUUCCCUUCGGGGCUGUGGUGACAGGUGGUGCAUGGUUGUCGUCAGCUCGUGUCGUGAGAUGUUGGGUUAAGUCCCGCAACGAGCGCAACCCUUACUUUGUGUUGCCAGCAUUCAGUUGGGCACUCACAAGGGACUGCCGCCGAUAAGGCGGAGGAAGGUGGGGAUGACGUCAAAUCAUCAUGCCCCUUAUGUCCUGGGCUACACACGUGCUACAAUGGGCGGUACAACGGGAUGCGAAGCCGCGAGGUGGAGCCAAACCCUGAAAACCGUUCGUAGUUCGGAUUGUAGGCUGCAACUCGCCUACAUGAAGCCGGAAUUGCUAGUAAUCGCGGAUCAGCAUGCCGCGGUGAAUACGUUCCCG
Molecule: ribosomal RNA, 896 nt
Filed under: uncultured bacterium
Lineage: Bacteria
Description: bacterial SSU rRNA
Rfam family: Bacterial small subunit ribosomal RNA
Source: RNAcentral